GAUGAAGAACACAGCGAAAUGCGAUAAGUAAUGUGAAUUGCAGAAUUCAGUGAAUCAUCGAAUCUUUGAACGCACAUUGCGCCCGUUAGCAUUCUAGCGGGCAUGCCUGUCCGAGCGUCAUUUCAACCCUCAGGGUCCCCGUUCCGGCGGGGAACCUGGUGUUGGGGAUCGGCCCGCCCCGUGCGGCGCCGUCCCCCAAAUUCAGUGGCGGUCUCGCUGCAGCCUCCCCUGCGUAGUAGUUACAACCUCGCAUCGGAGCUCAGCGCGGCCACGCCGUAAAACCCCCGACUUUCUGAACGUUGACCUCGGAUCAGGUAGGAAUACCCGCUGAACUUAAGCAUAUCAAUAAGCGGAGGA
This 357-nucleotide unclassified non-coding RNA is filed under the name soil metagenome. RNAcentral's name for it is "partial contains 5.8S ribosomal RNA, internal transcribed spacer 2, and large subunit ribosomal RNA". The stretch from base 1 to 120 matches the Rfam family "5.8S ribosomal RNA", at positions 35 to 154 of the family's 154-position model. The record is from RNAcentral.